Molecule: small RNA, 362 nt
Filed under: Pan troglodytes (chimpanzee)
Lineage: Eukaryota; Metazoa; Chordata; Mammalia; Primates; Hominidae
Description: retained intron
Source: RNAcentral
GGAGUCCACAAAUCGACCAAGAAAGAAACAGAAGACAGAACAGUUGGGACUAACAAGGACUCCCAUAGUGACCCUCUCUGGCCACAUGGAGGCAGUUUCCUCAGUUCUGUGGUCAGAUGCUGAAGAAAUCUGCAGUGCAUCUUGGGACCAUACAAUUAGAGUGUGGGAUGUUGAGUCUGGCAGUCUUAAGUCAACUUUGACAGGAAAUAAAGUGUUUAAUUGUAUUUCCUAUUCUCCACUUUGUAAACGUUUAGCAUCUGGAAGCACAGAUAGGCAUAUCAGACUGUGGGAUCCCCGAACUAAAGGUGAGUCAUGUAAACCACUGGGGGAAUAUAUGUGUGAAUAACAUCUAUUUCUCAUCU